CUUCCGUAGGGUGACCUGCGGAAGGAUCAUUACCUAGAGUUGUAGGCUUUGCCUGCUAUCUCUUACCCAUGUCUUUUGAGUACCUUACGUUUCCUCGGUGGGUUCGCCCACCGAUUGGACAAAUUUAAACCCUUUGCAGUUGAAAUCAGCGUCUGAAAAAAACUUAAUAGUUACAACUUUCAACAACGGAUCUCUUGGUUCUGGCAUCGAUGAAGAACGCAGCGAAAUGCGAUAAGUAGUGUGAAUUGCAGAAUUCAGUGAAUCAUCGAAUCUUUGAACGCACAUUGCGCCCCUUGGUAUUCCAUGGGGCAUGCCUGUUCGAGCGUCAUUUGUACCUUCAAGCUCUGCUUGGUGUUGGGUGUUUGUCUCCUGUAGACUCGCCUCAAAACAAUUGGCAGCCGGCGUAUUGAUUUCGGAGCGCAGUACAUCUCGCGCUUUGCACUCAUAACGACGACAUCCAAAAGUACAUUUUUACACUCUUGACCUCGGAUCAGGUAGGGAUACCCGCUGAACUUAAGCAUAUCAAUAAGCGGAGGAAA
RNAcentral lists this ribosomal RNA (539 nucleotides) under Epicoccum sp. RNAcentral's name for it is "eukaryotic LSU rRNA". The stretch from base 175 to 328 matches the Rfam family "5.8S ribosomal RNA". Lineage: Eukaryota; Fungi; Ascomycota; Dothideomycetes; Pleosporales; Didymellaceae. The record is from RNAcentral.